RNAcentral lists this ribosomal RNA (253 nucleotides) under uncultured bacterium. RNAcentral describes it as "partial 16S ribosomal RNA". It matches the Rfam family "Bacterial small subunit ribosomal RNA", at positions 524 to 776 of the family's 1533-position model. The record is from RNAcentral.
UACAGAGGGUGCAAGCGUUAAUCGGAAUUACUGGGCGUAAAGCGUGCGUAGACGGUUAUGUAAGUCGUGUGUGAAAGCCCCGGGCUCAACCUGGGAAUGCCAUUCGAGACUGCAUAGCUAGGGUGCGGAAGAGGGAAGCGGAAUUUCCGGUGUAGCGGUGAAAUGCGUAGAUAUCGGAAGGAACACCAGUGGCGAAAGCGGCUUCCUGGUCCAGCACAGACGUUCAGGCACGAAAGCGUGGGGAGCAAACAGG